Picea glauca (white spruce) is the source of this 63-nucleotide non-coding RNA. NCBI's taxonomy places the organism in Eukaryota, Viridiplantae, Streptophyta, Pinopsida, Pinales, Pinaceae. The record is from Rfam.
AGGUGCGAUCAUACUAGCGUUAAUGCACCGGAUCCCAUCAGAACUCCGCAGUUAAGCACGCUU